CUUCAUGAAGCUGGAAUUGCUAGUAAUGGCAGGUCAGCAUACUGCCGUGAAUACGUUCCCGGGGCCUUGUACACACCGCCCGUCACACCAUGAGAGUUGGGAAUACCCGAAGCCUGUGAGCUAACUGUAAAGAGGCAGCAGUCGAAGGUAGAAUCAAUGAUUGGGGUGAAGUCGUAACAAGGUAGC
RNAcentral lists this ribosomal RNA (186 nucleotides) under uncultured bacterium. RNAcentral's name for it is "partial 16S ribosomal RNA". It matches the Rfam family "Bacterial small subunit ribosomal RNA", at positions 1316 to 1500 of the family's 1533-position model. The record is from RNAcentral.